This 600-nucleotide ribosomal RNA is filed under the name Vibrio vulnificus. RNAcentral describes it as "bacterial SSU rRNA". It matches the Rfam family "Bacterial small subunit ribosomal RNA", at positions 943 to 1533 of the family's 1533-position model. The record is from RNAcentral. Lineage: Bacteria; Pseudomonadati; Pseudomonadota; Gammaproteobacteria; Vibrionales; Vibrionaceae.
GGUUUAAUUCGAUGCAACGCGAAGAACCUUACCUACUCUUGACAUCCAGAGAAGCCAGCGGAGACGCAGGUGUGCCUUCGGGAACUCUGAGACAGGUGCUGCAUGGCUGUCGUCAGCUCGUGUUGUGAAAUGUUGGGUUAAGUCCCGCAACGAGCGCAACCCUUAUCCUUGUUUGCCAGCGAGUAAUGUCGGGAACUCCAGGGAGACUGCCGGUGAUAAACCGGAGGAAGGUGGGGACGACGUCAAGUCAUCAUGGCCCUUACGAGUAGGGCUACACACGUGCUACAAUGGCGCAUACAGAGGGCGGCCAACUUGCGAAAGUGAGCGAAUCCCAAAAAGUGCGUCGUAGUCCGGAUUGGAGUCUGCAACUCGACUCCAUGAAGUCGGAAUCGCUAGUAAUCGUGGAUCAGAAUGCCACGGUGAAUACGUUCCCGGGCCUUGUACACACCGCCCGUCACACCAUGGGAGUGGGCUGCAAAAGAAGUGGGUAGUUUAACCUUCGGGAGGACGCUCACCACUUUGUGGUUCAUGACUGGGGUGAAGUCGUAACAAGGUAGCGCUAGGGGAACCUGGCGCUGGAUCACCUCCUUAUACGAUGAU